This 23-nucleotide non-coding RNA is filed under the name Cricetulus griseus (Chinese hamster). Lineage: Eukaryota; Metazoa; Chordata; Mammalia; Rodentia; Cricetidae. The record is from RNAcentral.
AAAAGACUGCGCUUUGACAUAGA